Molecule: long non-coding RNA, 521 nt
Filed under: Nicotiana tabacum (common tobacco)
Lineage: Eukaryota; Viridiplantae; Streptophyta; Magnoliopsida; Solanales; Solanaceae
Description: long non-coding RNA (NTAB_LNC017341)
Source: RNAcentral
AGUUCUGUCUGUAAAACGGGCAACAUGGCCCCUUUUCAUUCCAUACUUUGCAGUAAGAUCUACUGCACUCAAGUUAAGAAGCUCAGAAAGGGAAUUCCCAGACUCCUCAAGCUUAUCUGCAUAUUGCAUCAGUGCAUGAUCAUGCAGGUAUGACCUUAUUUCCAGCGCAUCCUUGAGUAAGAAAGAAAUAGAAAUCAGAACAAUAUCUUAUUUUGUUUCUUACCUUUAUUCAGAUGUGCCUGUUGAAAGUUUAUUUUGAGUAAAAACGUAGAAAUGGAAUGGAGGAGUUUAGGAUUUUUGAUUGCGCACAAAGAUGUUUUAAUGAUCUCUUAUUUCUUUUGUUGGAACUUUAUUUUUCUGAUACUUUAUAUUGUUCUAGGGAAAUACAAGAAUUACUUAGUUGUUUACAAAGAUUUGCAAAAGAAUAUGAAGAACCCCAGAUGAUUUUCUUGAGGUAUAUACAAGAAGGGUGAAUUAUCAGUAAAGAGAACCUUUUGCCGUUGAGUCAUGUUCAACUCGUU